GUCCAGUGGAAACUGAGUCUCCAGAAGAAGCUGGCACCUCGAAGGUCGGCCCAGUAAAGGGACCGGUGUGCUUGGUUAACCUCCAUCUCCCAGCGGUGUCAGAUGCAGCUUGCUGCCGGUGGGGGUGCGAGGAUGGUGGUAGGGGAUGAAGUAGGAGGCUGCUAGGGGUUUUUGACGCUAUUGGGUUUGAGACGGAGUUAUCAGUGGGCGCAGGAUCUCCUCUAAAUCGAGGAGUCUGAUUCUUUAAAAUCCCAGAGUACCCUCAGAAAGGCUCUUCAAGGGGGCCUCGCUGAGCAAUCUCACCCACCCCUUGUCCACAAAGGUGGGUGAGGUAGGCGGAAGGGUUAUUGCCCCGGCUGCAGUGCGGGAUCCACGCCAGCGAGGUCUAGGAGGCUGUAGAGGCUCCGGACUCCUGGGUGGAGAAGAGGAUCUUGCCACUUCGGGGGAGGAGAAAGCAAGAAAGUGCUGAAGUACUAGAGAGGCCUAGGAAUAAAGGCACAAGGGAGGGGAGGAGGAAAUCGAGAGCGCGCAAUCCCACCCCUCGAGGAGGUCUCCAACUCAAAGAAAGCAGACACAGGGUUCCUGACCCCUGGCGGGCACGACUAGACGUGAAGCUAGGGACCCACGCAACUCGCCCAGCCACACGAGGCCCCCGCAGGGAGAAUCCAGCCGGGCUAGUGUAUGAAGCAGGUGACUUUAUUCAAGGCUCCCCCAUUCGGCGAGGUCCCGGGACUCGUUUUCCGCCUGGAGAUUAAGAUCAUUGCUCGCGUAAUGAACUUAAUGCUUUAGGGUAGAGAUCCGCCUUGGGAGAGAAUGUUUCAGACGCGUUGGCGGGCAGAUCGGGCGGAAAAGGGAACCCUCCCCCUCCGUGCCAUCAGUCACCCUCAUCAGGCCCUCUCCCCUCCCCUCCCACUCUCGUUCAGGGCUCUCUGUCGGUGCCUGAGAUUCCUAGCUCUGUGCAGACUCUGCACCGCGACCACCCCAAGUGCUACGGGUCGCUAAACAGCCAGUGGGAGCGUGGGAGAGGGGAGAGUACAGGAAAAAUGCCCAGCCAGGCAGGGCACCCCACUACCCAAUUCCACGCCGCUCCACUAGGUAUUCCAACGCCUACCCCGAAGCUUUGCAUCAUCAAGUCAUGAUUUUACCGCCUGCACACGGGGCCGAAGGCCUGCCGGGAUCCCAAAGGCAGGGGAAAGUUUGCAGAGCUUUUAAAAUGAUCUCCAGAAGUUCCUGCUUAAGUCGUCGGGGUGCCGCCCACAGUCUCCCGCGACGGCUCCUAUCCCCGGCACUAGAGGCCCUCCAAGGCAAUCUGCCAGAGUCCCAGGUGCCCUCUAGUCCCCAAACUCUCAGGGUCACGCUCCCAGAACCGUGGUGGGGCUCUGGAGCGGAGCUCUGAUGUGACAGAGUUCAUUAAGAAGCCCGGAGCCCACUACAAAGCAUUCGGAGUAGUUUCGAGGGCAGGACACAGACCAGCGCAGGAAGCAUCUCUCCACGCCCUUCAGAGCACAGUCCUGGUCGCCGGGUCUCCAGAAACAAAGUCAAUAAUCCCUUAGACUUGACUUAAAGUACAAGCAAGAAGCGGUGGUGAAUUUCCUGGAAAAGUCCUGGCAGAAAAGAAACCCCCCCAAAAAAACGUGCCUUGUGGUCUCAGGGGUAGGGGAUGUGAGAAACUCAGCACGUUCAAACUAAACCUCAAUGCUGAACGGAAGGAGAAGGGGGAGACUCGGAGAGGAACCGACUGGCUUUUUGAUAUUUCUUUGUAUUUUGAACAUUAUCUAUAUGUUACUCAACUAAGAAACUUGUUUCUUUGAGGACAGGGCUCUGCAAAUUACAUAAUGGAGGAAAAGGGGUAGCGGUAGGCAA
Molecule: non-coding RNA, 1863 nt
Organism: Ictidomys tridecemlineatus (thirteen-lined ground squirrel)
Lineage: Eukaryota; Metazoa; Chordata; Mammalia; Rodentia; Sciuridae
Source: RefSeq, a predicted model, not a curated record